RNAcentral lists this ribosomal RNA (380 nucleotides) under uncultured bacterium. Its description in RNAcentral is "bacterial SSU rRNA". It matches the Rfam family "Bacterial small subunit ribosomal RNA", at positions 335 to 701 of the family's 1533-position model. The record is from RNAcentral.
ACUCCUACGGGAGGCAGCAGUGGGGAAUAUUGCACAAUGGGCGCAAGCCUGAUGCAGCCAUGCCGCGUGUAUGAAGAAGGCCUUCGGGUUGUAAAGUACUUUCAGCAGUGAGGAAGGUGGGUAUGUUAAUAGCAUAUUCUAUUUGACGUUAGCUGCAGAAGAAGCACCGGCUAACUCCGUGCCAGCAGCCGCGGUAAGUACGGGAGGGUGCGAGCGUUAAUCGGAAUUACUGGGCGUAAAGCGCAUGCAGGUUGGUUUGUUAAGUCAGAUGUGAAAGCCCGGGGUCUCAACCUCGGAAUUGCAUUUGAAACUGGCAAACUAGAGUACUGGUAGAGGGGGUUAGAAUUUCAGGUGUAGCGGUGAAAUGCGUAGAGAUCGUG